This 29-nucleotide non-coding RNA is filed under the name Homo sapiens (human). Lineage: Eukaryota; Metazoa; Chordata; Mammalia; Primates; Hominidae. The record is from RNAcentral.
UGGUGACGUAAUUGUGCAUGCGCGGCCCA